UGUGGUGAUGAAGGCAAGAAGGAUACACCUGUUCCCAUGCCGAACACAGCAGUUAAGCUUCUUAGCGCCGAUGGUAGUUGGACCUUUGGUCCUGUGAGAGUAGGACGUCGCCACGC
RNAcentral lists this ribosomal RNA (116 nucleotides) under Globicatella sulfidifaciens DSM 15739. The record is from RNAcentral. Lineage: Bacteria; Bacillati; Bacillota; Bacilli; Lactobacillales; Aerococcaceae.